GCGCCCGUAGCUCAAUUGGAUAGAGCACCUGCCUUCUAAGCAGGGGGUUGUGGGUUCGAUUCCCGUCGGGCGCG
This 74-nucleotide transfer RNA is filed under the name bacterium. Its description in RNAcentral is "tRNA-Arg". It matches the Rfam family "tRNA". From Rfam's summary of the family: Transfer RNA (tRNA) molecules are approximately 80 nucleotides in length. Their secondary structure includes four short double-helical elements and three loops (D, anti-codon, and T loops). Further hydrogen bonds mediate the characteristic L-shaped molecular structure. tRNAs have two regions of fundamental functional importance: the anti-codon, which is responsible for specific mRNA codon recognition, and the 3' end, to which the tRNAs corresponding amino acid is attached (by aminoacyl-tRNA synthetases). tRNAs cope with the degeneracy of the genetic code in two manners: having more than one tRNA (with a specific anti-codon) for a particular amino acid; and 'wobble' base-pairing, i.e. permitting non-standard base-pairing at the 3rd anti-codon position. The record is from RNAcentral.